UACAGAGGGGGCAAGCGUUGUUCGGAAUUACUGGGCGUAAAGGGCGCGUAGGCGGCCUGUUAAGUCGAACGUGAAAUCCCCAGGCUUAACCUGGGAACUGCGUCGGAUACUGGAUGGCUUGAAUUCGGGAGAGGGAUGCAGAAUUCCAGGUGUAGCGGUGAAAUGCGUAGAUAUCGCUUGGAACGCCGAAGGUGAAAACAGGCUGCUGGGGUUGCGCCGACGCUGAGACACGAAAGCCAGGGGAGCAAACGGG
This 253-nucleotide ribosomal RNA is filed under the name uncultured bacterium. Its description in RNAcentral is "partial 16S ribosomal RNA". It matches the Rfam family "Bacterial small subunit ribosomal RNA", at positions 524 to 776 of the family's 1533-position model. The record is from RNAcentral.